AGUGAACGCUGGCGGCGUGCCUAAUACAUGCAAGUCGAACGGAGAUUAAGUAGCUUGCUCUUUAAUCUUAGCGGCGCACGGGUGAGUAAUAUAUAGCUAACUUGCCCAUUACUAAGGGACAACAGUUGGAAACGACUGCUAAUACCUUAUACUCCGUAUCUAUAUAAGUAGAUACGGGAAAGUUUUUCGGUAAUGGAUAGGGCUAUAUCGUAUCAGCUAGUUGGUAAGGUAAUGGCUUACCAAGGCUAUGACGCGUAACUGGUCUGAGAGGAUGAUCAGUCACACUGGAACUGAGACACGGUCCAGACUCCUACGGGAGGCAGCAGUAGGGAAUAUUGCUCAAUGGGGGAAACCCUGAAGCAGCAACGCCGCGUGGAGGAUGACACUUUUCGGAGCGUAAACUCCUUUUCUUGGGAAAGAAUUAUGACGGUACCCAAGGAAUAAGCACCGGCUAACUCCGUG
RNAcentral lists this ribosomal RNA (462 nucleotides) under uncultured bacterium. Its description in RNAcentral is "partial 16S ribosomal RNA". It matches the Rfam family "Bacterial small subunit ribosomal RNA", at positions 29 to 507 of the family's 1533-position model. The record is from RNAcentral.